UACAGAGGGUGCAAGCGUUAAUCGGAAUUACUGGGCGUAAAGGGUGCGUAGGUGGUUGUUCAAGUUGGGUGUGAAAUCCCCGGGCUUAACCUGGGAACUGCAUUCAAAACUAAGCAACUAGAGUAGGAUAGAGGGAAGUGGAAUUUCCGGUGUAGCGGUGAAAUGCGUAGAUAUCGGAAGGAACAUCAGUGGCGAAGGCGGCUUCCUGGAUCCAUACUGACACUGAGGCACGAGAGCGUGGGGAGCAAACAGG
This 253-nucleotide ribosomal RNA is filed under the name uncultured bacterium. Its description in RNAcentral is "partial 16S ribosomal RNA". It matches the Rfam family "Bacterial small subunit ribosomal RNA", at positions 524 to 776 of the family's 1533-position model. The record is from RNAcentral.